UACGUAGGGUGCGAGCGUUAAUCGGAAUUACUGGGCGUAAAGCGUGCGUAGGCGGUUCGUUAAGUCAGUUGUGAAAGCCCCGGGCUCAACCUGGGAAUUGCGGUUGAAACUGGCGAACUAGAAUCUGGCAGAGGGGGGUGGAAUUCCACGUGUAGCAGUGAAAUGCGUAGAGAUGUGGAGGAACACCGAUGGCGAAGGCAGCCCCUGGGUCAAGAUUGACGCUCAUGCACGAAAGCGUGGGGAGCAAACAGG
RNAcentral lists this ribosomal RNA (252 nucleotides) under uncultured bacterium. Its description in RNAcentral is "partial 16S ribosomal RNA". It matches the Rfam family "Bacterial small subunit ribosomal RNA", at positions 524 to 776 of the family's 1533-position model. The record is from RNAcentral.